CGGGGCGUGGCGCAGCCUNNUGGCGCAGUCCGGUUAGCGCGCGUGCUUUGGGAGCACGAGGUCCGGGGUUCGAAUCCCCGCGCCCCGACCG
RNAcentral lists this transfer RNA (91 nucleotides) under Candidatus Latescibacterota bacterium. Its description in RNAcentral is "tRNA-Pro". It matches the Rfam family "tRNA". From Rfam's summary of the family: Transfer RNA (tRNA) molecules are approximately 80 nucleotides in length. Their secondary structure includes four short double-helical elements and three loops (D, anti-codon, and T loops). Further hydrogen bonds mediate the characteristic L-shaped molecular structure. tRNAs have two regions of fundamental functional importance: the anti-codon, which is responsible for specific mRNA codon recognition, and the 3' end, to which the tRNAs corresponding amino acid is attached (by aminoacyl-tRNA synthetases). tRNAs cope with the degeneracy of the genetic code in two manners: having more than one tRNA (with a specific anti-codon) for a particular amino acid; and 'wobble' base-pairing, i.e. permitting non-standard base-pairing at the 3rd anti-codon position. The record is from RNAcentral. Lineage: Bacteria; Pseudomonadati; Candidatus Latescibacterota.